GGGACCCGCACAAGCGGUGGAUGAUGUGGGUUAAUUCGAUGCAACGCGAAAACCUUACCCACCUUUGACAUGGCAGGAAUCCUGAAGAGAUUUGGGAGUGCUCGAAAGAGAACCUGCACACAGGUGCUGCAUGGCUGUCGUCAGCUCGUGUCGUGAGAUGUUGGGUUAAGUCCCGCAACGAGCGCAACCCUUGCCAUUAGUUGCUACGAAAGGGCACUCUAAUGGGACUGCCGGUGACAAACCGGAGGAAGGUGGGGAUGACGUCAAGUCCUCAUGGCCCUUAUAGGUGGGGCUACACACGUCAUACAAUGGCCGGUACAGAGGGUAGCCAACCCGCGAGGGGGAGCCAAUCCCACAAAGCCGGUCGUAGUCCGGAUCGCAGUCUGCAACUCGACUGCGUGAAGUCGGAAUCGCUAGUAAUCGCGGAUCAGCAUGUCGCGGUGAAUACGUUCCCGGGUCUU
This 461-nucleotide ribosomal RNA is filed under the name uncultured Allobrachymonas sp. RNAcentral's name for it is "bacterial SSU rRNA". It matches the Rfam family "Bacterial small subunit ribosomal RNA", at positions 916 to 1382 of the family's 1533-position model. Lineage: Bacteria; Pseudomonadati; Pseudomonadota; Betaproteobacteria; Burkholderiales; Comamonadaceae. The record is from RNAcentral.